GUGAGCUCCUUUCUUCAAAUUCAAGUCUUGCUCAGACCCUAUACAGGGGUUCUCCUCAGGGGAUGUUGUAUUUGAAUAAAUUCUAUUGUUCUGGUGAUAAUUGUCAACCAGGUUCCAGUUCAAGUUUUGCUAGUAAUCCACAGUGCUUCAAUGGUCAACUGGAAACUGUUGUAAGAUGCUCUAAUAGAAAGUCUUCUAUUAGUUCUGCAGUUGUCGUUGGAGACAUUGUUGGUGUAUUGGUUGCAUUCGUAGCGACAGUAUUUUUUUGUUGUCAUAAUAGUAGUCAUUUUUAUAGUCAUCCAUUAUAAAAGGAUGCAUAGACAUGAUGGUUCAUUAAGAGUUAAUGAUGAAGAUAUUUAUAUAGACUGAUAUUGUUUGUUUUUGAAAGUAUUUUGAAUAGUUUUUAUGUA
Long non-coding RNA from Amphimedon queenslandica, 410 nucleotides. RefSeq lists it as uncharacterized. Lineage: Eukaryota; Metazoa; Porifera; Demospongiae; Haplosclerida; Niphatidae. The transcript is spliced from 2 exons. The record is from RefSeq and is a predicted model, not a curated record.